CUUACCAAAUAAUAUUUCACGAGGAUAAGAAGAGCUGCUGUGGGUAUCAUAUAAGGUUCGAAGUAGUAACAACCUAGAACGAACAGGAUGAGGGCCAGGAUGCUCCGCGACUUCUUUUCCCACUCCCAGCAACUCCUAGUGUCGAAGAACAUUCUUCAAGAAGAGCUGUCUCUUAAACUUGAUCUCCGGCUCCAUAUAUUUCGUUUCCUUGGGAUUGAUUGUUCUGAUGCAAGCUCUCAAAACAUUCCACACGACUGUCAUCUCCAGGAGGAUCUGUGGAGGAUCUCAGUAGCGUCCUGACUCCCUUGACGAGGAAGCCAUUCUUUCAAACCUUCAUCUCUGGAAUUUCGGAACUCGCCACUAACUCCUUCCCAGGAGCCCUCGGCGUUGUCGCCUCGUUGAUACCUGCUGCUGCCCUGGCCUGACUGGUUAUUUACGACUCCAGCGAUCCUUGCCAAUGGAUGAUGACCUAGCGCGUGCCUGGCUGGACUUUGGGUGGCUGAGGAACUUCUACUGUGCUCGCUGGAGUAAUCGGCAGCGUAAUCACGAUCAGAUUCUCCUCCAGCAAUCCUAGAGUUGGAAGUUCUAAUUGAGUCAUGAAGCUGACUCGAGGAAUCCCUCGAUUUCUUUCUCUCCUUGCUGCGACUCCUGGACCAGCGACUCUUAAGAGUCGCGAAGAAUGUAUGCGUUCUCUGCGCCACGGUCGCGUGUCGAUGAUGAUGAUGAUGAACGACGCUUGGAUGAACGUCUUGACGUAUGGAUGAAGAGGAGGACGGUUGCGUUCCCACUAAAGGGGACUCUCUACCAGUUCCAGAGUGAUCUACCAAUGAGAAUAGCCGAUUUAAAUAAACGAGCAAUCAGCUGUCUUUACAAUAUAUUUGAUUGAAAACUCACCAGAACUUGGCUCACCGUCCUCCGAACCGGCAAGCAGCUCCACGCUCUUGCUCAUCUUACUCGACGAUGCCUCUAAGAAGCUUCCGAAUCUGCCGAUACUUAAGUCGUUUCUUGAAUAGUACUAAACCACGUAUCGGUAGCAUCAUUUCCAAGAGUCACAAUUCAGGGCAUCAGGACUACGACGUUAUUCAGUAUUUUCUAAUUGAUAAUUCACUAGACCAUUUCUCAAUAUUUUUCCUGACGAUUCUAAUAUAUUAACUCCAUUGCACGAGGAUAUUUUAACCAUCCCGGACCCCGAUCGAGUACGCCAAGAGUCUACUCCGGCAUCUGUUUUCAUUUUCUACUGCCACUAUCAACCACGUCAUUCCUACUGAAGUAUCUACCGCCAUCACCGUUCUAUUGCACAUUAAUAAAACGACCCGGCUCAACUUUAUAUCGGCUGGAUCUUCAGAGACUAAGAGAAUCAGUAGAACACGGAGAUCCUUGUUGAUGAGAAGGAGGUCGAGAUGGGACGAGGAGGUGUUAUACGAUCAGAUCAAUAUGGAUACACUAUUACCUCUCGAACCAAGCGUGCCGUUAAUGAUGACCUAUUGUUAUUUAAUUAUUUACACGCAGAGUACGGAUGCGUAUUAAUCAUGUAGUAAUGCGUGCACGGAUGCGACAAUACUUUCUACAUUAUCGCAUGAAUGCCCACCGCUAGUAUAAUAUCAAAUCAUCUUGCUCAAUCUCUUCAGUUCACUGACACUUCACCACUGCACACGCGCCUCAUGCAUUAACGCCAAUUAUAUCCCUUUUCCGAACCGAUCAACUGGAGGAAUCACCUUUUGCCUUUACGUUCGCAAUCGCACGUGUUCGCCGUCCUCUUGUACUCCAGCCUGCUCUACUCCGACGUCCGAGCGGCCACUGACAGCUGCCAUUGCUUUACAGCACGCCUACGAAUAGAAGAGAAUCGCGCAAUGAGAAAAAGAGAAUGAAAACGUGCGAGCGAGAAAGAGAGACCACGAGAAAGAGAGAGAGAGAGGAGCUAGCAACGAGGAGGUCAAAGGAAGGAGUACGAUGGCGGUAGGGAGUCACUAUCGACCCAUGUGCCUACACACCACGUUCCGUGAAUUUCAUAUGGUUUUACCUUUUUCCAAGAAAUUUUUAUCCAUCCACUCGUUUCUCCCUCGUUACGUUCUUUGGCUUUUUCUCUGCGCCCCAGACAGCAUCUACAGGGAAUACCAUCAAUUAGAAAAUAUAACGCAAGAUUAUAUAUAAUUAAUUUAGUAUUGAAAACCGUGUUGCUUGGACAGGUUGAAAAGAUCCCGCCUAAACUCACGGAUUUCAAUCGACAAAAAUAAUUUUUAAAAUCAAUCGUAAUACUCUACAAUAUGCUGCUUGUUCUAUUCUUUCAGCGGGAAACUACACCACAGAAAUGUGUGGUGCACAGCUUCCCUCGUAUUUAUAAAACUUGACAAACAUAUUAUCAACAAUAUGAAACGAGGCUGUACAUUGUUCGUUGCGUGCUAUUUGUCUGCUUGAUGUUUUUCAGCACAGCGAGAAUCGCAUCGCGUGUUUCAUAAGGGUGGAACCGAGGCACCUCAUGUCACGUUAUGACUACAUUAUAAUAUUACAUUACAGUAGGUUACUUCACGUGAGAUUAUUUUAAGUUUUUUAGAGCGAGUAUUGGCGAAUGUUACAAACAGACGUAAUAACAAUGAAUUUUAUUAGGCAAUGUACAAAAUAUCUUUAGCAUACACGGUAUGCAUUAAAACGGAUAUAUAACUAUACAUAUAUGUAUCUAUACAGAAACGUCCUGUGUUCUUUUCAAGACAUACGACAAAUUAAUGGCCGCCAGAAAGAAAAUUAAAAACAUCUGAUUGGAUCUUACAUAA
Cephus cinctus (wheat stem sawfly) is the source of this 2768-nucleotide long non-coding RNA. RefSeq lists it as uncharacterized. The record is from RefSeq and is a predicted model, not a curated record. The transcript has 5 exons. Lineage: Eukaryota; Metazoa; Arthropoda; Insecta; Hymenoptera; Cephidae.